UUUAAGAUGGCAAGAAGGAACUUCCUACGAAACUGCAAGCAGACCCUAAAUGACUGCACUCGGCUUUUGUUAUCCGAUAACGCUGGACACGACGACCUUCAGUCCACGUUGACAAGGAUGGAAACAAUGCAGCGAAUCCUAGAGUGGGCAAGGGGUACGCUCUUGAACGUUGCUUCAGCAGACGGCCUGAUAGCUUAAGUGUCCGAGUUCAUCGAGGAGAUUCGCACCUAUGGUCGGCAUGCACAACAAGCCAGUUCCGGUUACCAGGCUCCAUUGACUUGGACUGGAGCAAUGGGGGCUCCUCAUUAUCACAUCACCGGAGAGCAGCUGAGGUUUCUCAUGUCCUGUGCUUUCAGCCUCUCUCAGAUGGCUGAGAUUUUCCAUGUGUCCCGUUCCACAGUCAAACGGCGCCUACGGUCAGUUGUGCUUGGGGUAAAAUGCUAUGAAAAGCAAAUCUUUUAAAUGCAUGCUUUCCACAGUUUGAAGACAUGAGUUGAUUGUCAACAAUCAAGAAAUCAAGUACUAUAGUGAUGCAUAGUCUCAUCUGGGCAUUGUUACUGUUUCUGUCUCGUCAGACGCUUGAAUCUUUCACA
Molecule: long non-coding RNA, 593 nt
Organism: Hypomesus transpacificus
Lineage: Eukaryota; Metazoa; Chordata; Actinopteri; Osmeriformes; Osmeridae
Exons: 3
Source: RefSeq, a predicted model, not a curated record